This 253-nucleotide ribosomal RNA is filed under the name uncultured bacterium. Its description in RNAcentral is "partial 16S ribosomal RNA". It matches the Rfam family "Bacterial small subunit ribosomal RNA", at positions 524 to 776 of the family's 1533-position model. The record is from RNAcentral.
UACGAAGGGGGCUAGCGUUGUUCGGAAUUACUGGGCGUAAAGCGCACGUAGGCGGGUCGUUAAGUCAGGGGUGAAAUCCCAGAGCUCAACUCUGGAACUGCCUUUGAUACUGGCGACCUAGAGUCCGGAAGAGGUGAGUGGAACUGCGAGUGUAGAGGUGAAAUUCGUAGAUAUUCGCAAGAACACCAGUGGCGAAGGCGGCUCACUGGUCCGGUACUGACGCUGAGGUGCGAAAGCGUGGGGAGCAAACAGG